Molecule: ribosomal RNA, 464 nt
Filed under: uncultured bacterium
Lineage: Bacteria
Description: partial 16S ribosomal RNA
Rfam family: Bacterial small subunit ribosomal RNA
Source: RNAcentral
CCUACGAGUGGCAGCAGUGGGGAAUCUUCCGCAAUGGGCGAAAGCCUGACGGAGCAACGCCGCGUGAUCGAAUGAAGGCCUUCGGGUUGUAAAGAUCUGUUGACAGGGACGAAUAAGCCAUGCGAAUAGUUUGGUGUAUGACGGUACCUGUUUAGAAAGCUCCGGCUAACUACGUGCCAACAGCCGCGGAAAGACGUAGGGAGCAAGCGUUGUCCUGAAUUACUGGGCGUAAGGGGCGCGUAGGUGGGUGCUUAAGUCAGGUGUGAAAACUCUGGGCUCAACCUGGAGACUGCACUUGAAACUGGGUAUCUUGAGGGCAGGAGAGGAAAGUGGAAUUCCUAGUGUAGCGGUGAAAUGCGUAGAUAUUAGGAGGAACACCAGUGGCGAAGGCGACUUUCUGGACUGUACCUGACGCUGAGGCGCGAAAGCGUGGGUAGCGAACGGGAUUAGAUACCCCGGUAGUC